UUGUUUCUUCUGCAGAGUCCUCUUAGGCUUACGGCAGACCUUGUUGAAAAUGCCGUUAAAAAUCUUCCUUUGAAGAAGCUAGGACCUAACAAAGGAGAAUGAUAGAACAAGAGCAUUGCAGAACUUGAGAUUUUCUCAGGGUCGUAAAUGGAGUUAGAUGCAGAGCCAUGAUGCCAGAAUUGACACAUCCGAGGUAAGAGUUUUAAAAACCUUCCAUAC
Molecule: long non-coding RNA, 219 nt
Filed under: Brassica rapa (field mustard)
Lineage: Eukaryota; Viridiplantae; Streptophyta; Magnoliopsida; Brassicales; Brassicaceae
Description: long non-coding RNA (BRAP_LNC004930)
Source: RNAcentral